GUACAAAACCUGGAGGGCUGACAGAUGAUUGGCUGAUGAGCGGUGCAGAGGGUGUGUAGGUGGGCGUGGCAGGUGUUUUGGAGGGAACAGCUGGCAGCAGAUGACAGGGAAUGAAAAGAAGGCCUUAGUGGAGAAGGCCUUAAAACCAACGGACAAAGCCCAGCACACCAAAGCAAGUCCUCAGGGUCUCUACUUCUCUGUGGACACCACACCAUGGCUAUGAGAGGGAGAGACACUGCGACAGAAAGUGGUGCCGAGAGCAGCUGAAAGUUUCUUCCAGUUCAAGUGGCCUCCGUUUCUCCAGAAGAAAUGUAAUUCAACAUUUGCAGUUCCUCACUUGCACCAGAGGAGCAGAUGGUCUGGCAUCACCCUGACAGUCCAGUGUCAACCUCUUUGAUUUGCCAUCCAUUUCAAGACCAAGGCUAGCUGUUAGCUCUUCAUUCAGACAGAAAGUGGCACAACAAAAUUAGACGUGCACAUUUUGGGGGCGCAACUGAACUGGGAUAUGACAACUUGCCAAGAUAUGCCUCAAUCAGAAAACAAGUUCCCACAGCAGGACUUCCUCUUGAGGGAUAGAGACCAUUAAAAUAUGACAGAACAACAAAUAAACACAUUUG
Molecule: long non-coding RNA, 617 nt
Organism: Myripristis murdjan (pinecone soldierfish)
Lineage: Eukaryota; Metazoa; Chordata; Actinopteri; Holocentriformes; Holocentridae
Exons: 4
Source: RefSeq, a predicted model, not a curated record